UAUCCCAAUCCUAGAGAUUGUAAGACCCCUUGAAGAACACGAGGUAGAUAGGACAGAGGUGGAAGUGCAGUAAUGUAUGUAGCUGACUGUUACUAAUAGGUCGAGGGCUUAUCCUAA
RNAcentral lists this ribosomal RNA (117 nucleotides) under Lachnospiraceae bacterium. RNAcentral describes it as "partial 23S ribosomal RNA". It matches the Rfam family "Bacterial large subunit ribosomal RNA", at positions 2810 to 2925 of the family's 2925-position model. The record is from RNAcentral. Lineage: Bacteria; Bacillati; Bacillota; Clostridia; Lachnospirales; Lachnospiraceae.